UUGAACUUAAACAGUGUUAACCUCUUUCUUUCCUUCCUCCCCAAGUCCAACCCUCAUUUCCUAGUCAAACUAAUCUUUACCCUUUUUUGUGCUACAAUAUUUUCAACUCUUCAAGUAAACUCCAAAAAAAAAAGUGGUAAAUAAAGCAGCAAAUUUCACUCCCCCCUCAAAAAAUACACAUUACAGUCCACAUUUUCUAUACCAGCAGCAGCAGAAGAAGAUAUCCCCCUCUUCACUCUUCUCCCUUUCUCUAUCUUCUUUCUCUCUCCUUUUUUUUUUGCUUCAUCUUCUUCUUAUGGGGCUGCUCAUUUCUUGCAUCAUUUAAUCAAUCUUUGUUUUUGUUUUUUAAAUUCUUCUCGAAUCUUUCACAAAUCUUCUUCGUUUUCCUCCCCUUUUUCUGAUCUGGGUUUUUCUUUCUGAUUAUUACACUUGCAAAAUCAGAAAGAAAAAAACUGUAAAAAAAGAUUCAAUCUUUGGGUUGAUUUUCAACUGGAAUUUUGUUCUUUUGGACUAAUUUCAAUGAUUAUGAAGAUUUAAAUUCAUGGGUUUGUGAAGAAUAUGUGCAAAAUUUGUUCUUGCAUUCAGUUUAUGAUAAAUCAGUUCAUUGCUUGAAUUUGCUAUUUGUGGGAGUUUUGAGUAAUGGGGAGAGGUAGAGGGAAGGGAAAGAAGUUGACAGUUACGAGCCACGACGAUCCGGGUAGUGGGGAAGAGGAGAAGAUCCCUGCUCAAAAGAGAAGAGGAAGACCUCAAAAGCCAUUGAAGGAUGAGGUGGAUGAUGAAGAUGUAGUAGGAAAGGUAGAAGAGGAGGACAGUGAGAAUAAGGAUUCGAGUAUCACGACCGCCAUUGAUAGUGGUAAGAAGAGGAAAAGAAGCUCUCCAUCAAAGGAGAAACAAAGUCCUGUGAAAGAAGAAAACAGUGUUGGAGCUACCUUAGUUUCAGAAAUUUCAACCAAGCCUAGUGGUUUUCGACAUAUUGGGAGCAGGAGGAAAAACAAGCCUCGACGAGCAGCAGAAGUCGGGGUUGAGUGCUAGUGACAUAACAAGUGAUAUAUAAUUAGUUGAGCUAGCCUGAGCCCCAUUUUGUUAAUGGUUAGAUUUGUUCUUGGGCUCUCGAGUCUUCCGGUAAGGCGCGCCUGAAACCUUUCAGGCUUUUGCAUUCUUUUGUCAUUUGCCCUAACAUUUUGGCUGCUUUUCAUUAGUUACUCUUUGAUAUUUUUUGCCGAUUAUCCAAUCAUACUGUAAUAAUGACUAUGAUAAUUGACAUGUUACUAGUUGAUUUCUAGCAUUCAAUUGCUUUUUUUGCUA
Molecule: long non-coding RNA, 1305 nt
Organism: Chenopodium quinoa (quinoa)
Lineage: Eukaryota; Viridiplantae; Streptophyta; Magnoliopsida; Caryophyllales; Amaranthaceae
Exons: 2
Source: RefSeq, a predicted model, not a curated record